This 417-nucleotide long non-coding RNA is filed under the name Ananas comosus (pineapple). Its description in RNAcentral is "long non-coding RNA (ACOM_LNC012220)". The record is from RNAcentral. Lineage: Eukaryota; Viridiplantae; Streptophyta; Magnoliopsida; Poales; Bromeliaceae.
CGUAUUAUUUUUGGGGGUACAGGUUCACAUAUGAGCAGCGCGGCGGCGCGAGGAAAAGGCGUAGCUUCGUAGAUAGCGCCCUAUUACAGAGACCAGAGAUACCGGUAUCUCGAGUCAGCCUAGCUAGGAGUGUAGAAAAGAUGAAAGAAAUAAAUUUGUAAUAAUCUUGAUUGUAUUUGGAAGAAAAGAAAACGAAAAUAUAAAUUGUAAAAAGCAUGUGAUGUGAAUGCUUGUAAUAGCUUAAUUGUUUUAUGUUUUUUAUACUUCCUUAUGCAAUCUCUACUUGAAAUCUGUUCCUAGUUGGAACCUCUUGUAUUAUAUUGAUUGUGACGCCUAGGACGUACAGGAAAAACUCUAUCCGUUCGGCGGUCUGUUAGCGGGCCCGAAUCUGACCAAAUAGGCGGGUCUCAGGGCGUG